RNAcentral lists this ribosomal RNA (489 nucleotides) under uncultured bacterium. RNAcentral's name for it is "partial 16S ribosomal RNA". It matches the Rfam family "Bacterial small subunit ribosomal RNA", at positions 28 to 507 of the family's 1533-position model. The record is from RNAcentral.
GACGAACGCUGGCGGCGUGCUUAACACAUGCAAGUCGAACGGUGAAGGGAUCAGCUUGCUGGUUCUGGAUGAGUGGCGAACGGGGGAGUAACACGUGAGUAACCUGCCCCCUUCUUCUGGAUAACCGCAUGAAAGUGUGGCUAAUACGGGAUAUUCUGGGUCUGUCGCAUGAUGGGUCUGGGAAAGAUAUUGUUUCGGUGGGGGAUGGGCUCGCGGCCUAUCAGCUUGUUGGUGGGGUGAUGGCCUACCAAGGCGGUGACGGGUAGCCGGCCUGAGAGGGUGGACGGUCACACUGGGACUGAGACACGGCCCAGACUCCUACGGGAGGCAGCAGUGGGGAAUAUUGCACAAUGGGCGCAAGCCUGAUGCAGCGACGCCGCGUGAGGGAUGGAGGCCUUCGGGGUGUAAACCUCUUUCGCCAGUGAAGCAGGCCUGCUCCUUGUGGGUGGGUUGACGGUAGCUGGAUAAGAAGCGCCGGCUAACUACGUG